CCGGAUCGAGCGCAAUGUGUUGAGGCUCGGGCAGAGAGGCUCGAGACGCAGGUCGGCCGCGUCCACGUGCGCCUCGCCUCGCCUCGAAGUUUCAGCAAUGGCCGCGGGAAGGUGAGCAAGCCCGGCACUGAGAGCUCCUGCGUGCUCGAAAAUGGCUUAUUAGCUUCGCCGCUCUAACUGCUCUCCGCCGUGACGUCACCGGGGCAGCCCAGCCAAUGAGGGAAGCGCUGGCGCUGAUAUUAAGGGAAAGUUAGUGCAAAGCUAAGCACCCUGGCUUUUUUUAUUGUCAUUGACAUUUAAACUGUGUGGCAGAUUCUUAUGUAGAAAUUGGCGAUCUGACUUGCCAGUUACCGACUCGCAGAGGCGGAACUGGGAAUCCGCGGAACAUGCGCCUCCGCCUGCCCUCUCGCUAACAGGAACUCAAGAUCACACAACCAGCAGCGUCACUGGAGAAAAACUCUUUUACUGGCAAUCCUUUUUAAGACACCACCAUUCCAAAUCACGGGCGCUUUUUAAAACUGUUGACAAGAGCUUUGACAACAAGACAGGAUGCCUCAGAAAGUGGGAAGACUUUAAUCAGCGCUACGCAGAUGUGUGAUUCCUUAAAUUGCAUGAGAGGAGAGUCCACUCAUAAAUCAG
Long non-coding RNA from Candoia aspera, 639 nucleotides. RefSeq lists it as uncharacterized. The record is from RefSeq and is a predicted model, not a curated record. Lineage: Eukaryota; Metazoa; Chordata; Lepidosauria; Squamata; Candoiidae. The transcript is spliced from 3 exons.